Molecule: unclassified non-coding RNA, 226 nt
Filed under: Hevea brasiliensis (rubber tree)
Lineage: Eukaryota; Viridiplantae; Streptophyta; Magnoliopsida; Malpighiales; Euphorbiaceae
Source: RNAcentral
CAACAUGAAGAACGCCCGGUUGCUCUAGAAUUGAAAGCACAAAGAUAUACCAUUCAGUUAUUAUUUUUCACAGUAAAAGAGGGAAGUUGGAAAAUUUUCAAUAUGAAAUGUUCCCAAUUUUUAAUAAAAUCAAAUACAUAAGACGUACAGUUUGCAAGAGAGGAACGUAUAAAGAGAAAAUUGAAUAUAAUCAAAAUAUUUAGGCAGAAUUUGGACACAGAUUAUG